GUGGCAACCAUGGAGGCACUAGCAGCCUUCUGAGGGCACCUGACUGCUGCACAGGGGAGGCCGCCCCCAAGGGAGCUGCUCUGGGUGGCUCCAGACCGUGCCCUCCAGCCCCCAGCCUGACACAGACCAACCUGCGCCUCAACCGUUUACAGAGCCUUUGGACUAGACCUCGGCGCCCUCAGUGCUUGUUACCACCCGCUGCAUGCUGACUCUAGUUGCACUACAGGAGACCUGACAUUGAUGAUCCAAUCUGGGAAGACUGAAGACCGCUGGCAAGGAACCCACCAGGAAUAUUUGUCUCUAAAGGCACAAUUCUGCGUGCUAGAUCUGGAACUUGUUUGGAGAGCAAAGAAUUCCUGCUCCAUACAAGCUGUUGGAUUCAAGAUGCUCUGGGCUGUGCAUUUCUGCUGUGUUUACAGGCAGCAAGAGGGGAUCUGAGAAGGAGCCCACCUUGUGCUUGUUCUCUCGGCAUCGGGCUGUCUGGAGGUCUGCGUUGGGCACCGGAGGUGGGGCCAGGCACAUGAGCUCACACAGGGCCUCCGGGAAGGACCACAGCCCGUCUUCCAUACAGCUGUGGAGCCCAGGGAGGCCAAGAGCUGCCACAAAGGAGAGGAGAUCCAACUGCAUGAGUGACUUGCAAUGUCUGCAGGGAAGUAAAAUUCAAGGCUCCUGACAACUGACUGCGUAAGAAAGACUUUUACGCUCCUUCCAUCUGACCCCCUUGCUUUGCCAGAUGGGCGUCCGAGUCCGGAGGUGAAAGCGCUUGCCCCCUAAUAAUGAACACAGUA
Molecule: long non-coding RNA, 788 nt
Organism: Manis javanica (Malayan pangolin)
Lineage: Eukaryota; Metazoa; Chordata; Mammalia; Pholidota; Manidae
Source: RefSeq, a predicted model, not a curated record